RNAcentral lists this ribosomal RNA (883 nucleotides) under uncultured bacterium. Its description in RNAcentral is "bacterial SSU rRNA". It matches the Rfam family "Bacterial small subunit ribosomal RNA", at positions 451 to 1324 of the family's 1533-position model. The record is from RNAcentral.
GUCCUUAUGGCUAAUAUCCAUAAGGGGUGAUGGUACCAAAGGAAUAAGCACCGGCUAACUUCGUGCCAGCAGCCGCGGUAAUACGAAGGGUGCAAGCGUUGUUCGGAAUCAUUGGGCGUAAAGCGCGCGCAGGCGGAUCAGCAAGUCAGAUGUGAAAUCUCGGAGCUCAACUCCGAAACUGCGUCUGAAACUGCUAGUCUAGAAUGUCGGAGGGGGCAGGGGAAUUUCACGUGUAGGGGUAAAAUCCGUAGAGAUGUGAAGGAACACCGGAGGCGAAGGCGCCUGCCUGGACGACUAUUGACGCUGAGGCGCGAAAGCGUGGGGAGCAAACAGGAUUAGAUACCCUGGUAGUCCACGCCGUAAACGAUGAACACUAGUUAUUGGAGGUAUUGACUCCUUCAGUGACGCAGCUAACGCAUUAAGUGUUCCGCCUGGGGAGUACGGUCGCAAGACUAAAACUCAAACAAAUUGACGGGGGCCCGCACAAGCGGUGGAUUAUGUGGUUUAAUUCGAAGCAACGCGCAGAACCUUACCUAGGCUUGAACUCCUCAGAAUCCGGGGUAAUGCCUGGAGUGCCCGCAAGGGAAUUGAGUGAGAGGUGCUGCAUGGCUGUCGUCAGCUCGUGUUGUGAAAUGUUGGGUUAAGUCUCGCAACGAGCGCAACCCCUAUCGUCUGUUGCCAGCAUUAAGUUGGGCACUCUGACGAGACUGCCUGGGUUAACCAGGAGGAAGGUGGGGAUGACGUCAAGUCCUCAUGGCCCUUAUGUCUAGGGCUACACACGUAAUACAAUGGCGCGUACAGAGGGAAGCGAACUCGCAAGGGGGAGCAAAUCUCAAAAAGCGCGUCUCAGUUCGGAUUGAAGUCUGCAACUCGACUUCAUGAA